Molecule: unclassified non-coding RNA, 18 nt
Filed under: Mus musculus (house mouse)
Lineage: Eukaryota; Metazoa; Chordata; Mammalia; Rodentia; Muridae
Description: oocyte_clustered_small_RNA5580
Source: RNAcentral
GUAUUCCAGGGAGACUAG